UACCCGCAGCACAAGUGGUGGUCAUUAUUAUUGGGCCUAAAGCGUCCGUAGCUGGCUUGUUAGAUGCCUGGGUAAAUCGAUGCGCUCAACGCAUCGAAUUCCGGGUAGACCGGCAAGCUCGAGACCGGGAGAGGCGUGAGCUACUCGGGGGGUAGGGGUAAAAUCCUGUAAUCCUCCGGGGAGGACCAGUGGCGAAGGCGUCACGCUAGAACGGCUCCGACAGUGAGGGACGAAGCCCUGGGGCGCAAACCGG
This 253-nucleotide ribosomal RNA is filed under the name uncultured bacterium. Its description in RNAcentral is "partial 16S ribosomal RNA". It matches the Rfam family "Archaeal small subunit ribosomal RNA", at positions 474 to 727 of the family's 1478-position model. The record is from RNAcentral.